GAAAUGCGAUAAGUAAUGUGAAUUGCAGAAUUCAGUGAAUCAUCGAAUCUUUGAACGCACAUUGCGCCCGCCAGUAUUCUGGCGGGCAUGCCUGUUCGAGCGUCAUUACAACCCUCAGGCCCCCGGGCCUGGCGUUGGGGAUCGGCGGAAGCCCCCUGCGGGCACAACGCCGUCCCCCAAAUACAGUGGCGGUCCCGCCGCAGCUUCCAUUGCGUAGUAGCUAACACCUCGCAACUGGAGAGCGGCGCGGCCACGCCGUAAAACACCCAACUUCUGAAUGUUGACCUCGAAUCAGGUAGGAAUACCCUCUGAACUUAAGC
RNAcentral lists this unclassified non-coding RNA (320 nucleotides) under plant metagenome. RNAcentral's name for it is "partial contains 5.8S ribosomal RNA, internal transcribed spacer 2, and large subunit ribosomal RNA". The stretch from base 1 to 105 matches the Rfam family "5.8S ribosomal RNA", at positions 50 to 154 of the family's 154-position model. The record is from RNAcentral.